This 482-nucleotide long non-coding RNA is filed under the name Capsicum annuum. Its description in RNAcentral is "long non-coding RNA (CANN_LNC001623)". Lineage: Eukaryota; Viridiplantae; Streptophyta; Magnoliopsida; Solanales; Solanaceae. The record is from RNAcentral.
AGCAAAACAGCCAAUAAAUUAUAGAGCACUUAAAAAAAGGGACAAUGUUUGCUGGAGAAAAUAAGAAUCUCGCCGAAAAAUUCAAAGUCACCAAAAAUAUCAAAGAUCCAAAAAAUGGUGAGAAAAAAAUGUUAGAGUACCAUAAAUGACCCAAAUCCCUAAGAUAAGCAUAUUAUUAAGGGAAUGGUAUAAUAACAAAUAAAGGUUGGCGUUGGUUCAACGGCAUAUGCCGGCGCAACACCGGAAACCAGAUUUCGGCCAGAUCAGGCCAUCUUUAAUAUGGUAGUAGCGAAAAGGAGAAGAAAGAGGGUGCGUGGUAGUGCGUGCAGGUGUGCUUGAUCAAAGCCCACUCGCCGGUGGUCAGAUUUGGUGUGGUGUAGCAAAGAAAAGAAGAGAAGGGCUAUUUGGUGGUGGGUGGGAGCUCACCGAUCAUCACCUCCGACAAGCUUGUAUGAAGCAACAGAGGGGAGAAUGAAGCAACA